UGCAUCCAGAACCAUAUUUGCAAUGAAAUCUAAGCAUUGGUUAGGAAUAUUCCAAUUCGACUUGCAAGCUAAAAGCCUCACACACAUUGAUAAUGUGGAAUCUGAUGCUCCUUCAUACAAAGGCGUAUUUGCCUCCAACAAAAGGUUAUAAAACCUUUGAGUUUCUUCAUUUGGAGCCUCUUCCAUGUUAGAAGAAUUUGAUGCUUGGAAGGGUUGUCUUUGCAUAAGAGCAUCAUGCACCAUGUCUUCCAUCGUCAUAACUUGUUCAUUUGGUUCACCU
RNAcentral lists this long non-coding RNA (280 nucleotides) under Vigna radiata. RNAcentral describes it as "long non-coding RNA (VRAD_LNC002136)". Lineage: Eukaryota; Viridiplantae; Streptophyta; Magnoliopsida; Fabales; Fabaceae. The record is from RNAcentral.